This 348-nucleotide ribosomal RNA is filed under the name Triops mauritanicus. RNAcentral describes it as "partial 12S ribosomal RNA". The record is from RNAcentral. Lineage: Eukaryota; Metazoa; Arthropoda; Branchiopoda; Notostraca; Triopsidae.
UACACACCUCAGAGCCAACUUCAAUAAAGAAUUUUAUUCUAAAUUUACUACUAAAUCCACCUUAAUAAUAUUUUACAUACACUAAUCCGUAUUAAUUAUAAUUUAUUGUAACCCACUUCUCCCAUAUUUAUAAGUUGCACCUUGACCUGAAGUCAUAAAUUUAAAAUUAAUUAGAUUAUAUUUUCUAAAAAUAAUCUGACAACGGCGGUAUACAAACUGAAUACAAAAAUAUGUACAUUUAAACGUGGAAUAUCGAUCCAAGAGCAGGUUCCUCUAGUAAGAAUGAAGUACCGCCAAAUUCUUUAGGUUUCAAUAAAUCUACUACCCUGGCAAUAAAUUUAAUAAAGA